RNAcentral lists this ribosomal RNA (1350 nucleotides) under uncultured bacterium. RNAcentral describes it as "bacterial SSU rRNA". It matches the Rfam family "Bacterial small subunit ribosomal RNA", at positions 28 to 1381 of the family's 1533-position model. The record is from RNAcentral.
GACGAACGCUGGCGGCGUGCUUAACACAUGCAAGUCGAACGAUGAUGACUGGUGCUUGCACUGGUUGGAUUAGUGGCGAACGGGUGAGUAAUACGUGAGUAACCUGCCUUUAACUCUGGGAUAAGCCUGGGAAACUGGGUCUAAUACCGGAUAUGACAAUUGUUCGCAUGAAUGGUUGUGGAAAGGGUUUGUACUGGUUUUAGAUGGGCUCACGGCCUGUCAGCUUGUUGGUGGGGUAAUGGCUCACCAAGGCGACGACGGGUAGCCGGCCUGAGAGGGUGACCGGCCACACUGGGACUGAGACACGGCCCAGACUCCUACGGGAGGCAGCAGUGGGGAAUAUUGCACAAUGGGCGCAAGCCUGAUGCAGCGACGCCGCGUGAGGGAUGACGGCCUUCGGGUUGUAAACCUCUUUCAGCAGGGAAGAAGCGAAAGUGACGGUACCUGCAGAAGAAGCGCCGGCUAACUACGUGCCAGCAGCCGCGGUAAUACGUAGGGCGCGAGCGUUGUCCGGAAUUAUUGGGCGUAAAGAGCUUGUAGGCGGUUUGUCGCGUCUGCUGUGAAAGACCGGGGGCUUAACCCCCGUAUUGCAGUGGGUACGGGCAGACUAGAGUGCAGUAGGGGAGACUGGAAUUCCUGGUGUAGCGGUGAAAUGCGCAGAUAUCAGGAGGAACACCGAUGGCGAAGGCAGGUCUCUGGGCUGUAACUGACGCUGAGAAGCGAAAGCAUGGGGAGCGAACAGGAUUAGAUACCCUGGUAGUCCAUGCCGUAAACGUUGGGCACUAGGUGUGGGGGACAUUCCACGUUUUCCGCGCCGUAGCUAACGCAUUAAGUGCCCCGCCUGGGGAGUACGGCCGCAAGGCUAAAACUCAAAGGAAUUGACGGGGGCCCGCACAAGCGGCGGAGCAUGCGGAUUAAUUCGAUGCAACGCGAAGAACCUUACCAAGGCUUGACAUAUACUGGAUCGUCGUAGAGAUACGGUUUCCCUUCGGGGCUGGUAUACAGGUGGUGCAUGGUUGUCGUCAGCUCGUGUCGUGAGAUGUUGGGUUAAGUCCCGCAACGAGCGCAACCCUCGUUCUAUGUUGCCAGCACGUGAUGGUGGGGACUCAUAGGAGACUGCCGGGGUCAACUCGGAGGAAGGUGGGGAUGACGUCAAAUCAUCAUGCCCCUUAUGUCUUGGGCUUCACGCAUGCUACAAUGGCCGGUACAAAGGGUUGCGAUACUGUGAGGUUGAGCUAAUCCCAAAAAGCCGGUCUCAGUUCGGAUUGGGGUCUGCAACUCGACCCCAUAAAGUCGGAGUCGCUAGUAAUCGCAGAUCAGCAACGCUGCGGUGAAUAAGUUCCCGGGCCU